This is a long non-coding RNA of Saccoglossus kowalevskii, 389 nucleotides long. RefSeq lists it as uncharacterized. NCBI's taxonomy places the organism in Eukaryota, Metazoa, Hemichordata, Enteropneusta, Harrimaniidae. The record is from RefSeq and is a predicted model, not a curated record.
CAAUGUCUAAUCACACUAUCGCUCGCACCAUCAAUACUGACCAGUCAAUACUUUUCCUGAACGCUGAAGCUGUCGGAUUGACCCUGUUACUAUGAUGCGCUUCACAAUAACCAUCUUUGUGUGUAUGUUGGUGUCUGGACUGGUCGUAUCGGAUCCUGUUCGGAACAUCAAUGCCCGGGAGUCGAACGAAGCAGCUGUACACGACCAGGAAGCACGUGGCAUUGGCAGAUGCGCCAAAUAUCCAGAUGGUUCACAAGAGCAGCGUAUGUGCAUUUGUCAAGAGACUGGCAACUAUUGUGCUUAUUGAACGUUCGACAGUAUAAUACGUGGACCACCCAAGGCAAUGACCGCCAUUAGUGAACAUGAAUAAAAUAUCUUAAAUCGUUGAA